RNAcentral lists this long non-coding RNA (2151 nucleotides) under Homo sapiens (human). RNAcentral describes it as "HSALNT0021150". The record is from RNAcentral. Lineage: Eukaryota; Metazoa; Chordata; Mammalia; Primates; Hominidae.
UUCCAAUAAAACUUUAUUUACAAAAACAGGCAGUGGGCUGGGUUUGACCCACAGGCCAUAUUUUGCCAACCCUAGGUGUAGAUGAUCUUCAGCAUCUUUUUAAAUAACAAUAAUUCCUUUAGGUGAGAAGUGGAUUUUUUGAUACUACACAUACAAUUCAUUUAAAUGUAAGACCCCCAAUAUAAUAACUCCAACCAUUUUUUUGUUGCUUUGGAUAACAUGUUUUCUUCUCUCCUUCAGUGAUAAAUCAAACCUCAACAGAAUUUAUUUAGAGGCUAGAAUAACAGGUCAGGUGAUGCUCUCACUGAGGAAUUUGACAAUAUACAUGACUAAUCCUAGACCUCAAAGUGUUCACAAUGUAAUGAAAGAGACAUACACAUAAAGGCAUAAUUAUAAAGCAUUACAGUAAUUGCUAUAAUCAUGCUAUUAUCCAUUAUCAAGACUUAAGUUCUACUACAUCCAAAUUUGAGAUGCUAGAGCAGACCAAGUUCAAGGACAUUGCAAUAUAAUACAUGUAGGAUAUGCAGAAAAUUGGUGGGCCAUCUGAAAUGCAUUCUUGUGAAAAUUGAGGGUGUGAGUUUUCAGGGAAGUCUUGACUCAGAAUAGGACUGGUCCACAGAGCAAGGCUGUGUCAGAUUACACUUGAGACCUAAAGAGUGGCCAUCUGUGAUAAAAGUCAGACCUUUGUUCAACUACAAAGAAGUAAGGCGUAGUUAUGAUACAGAACAUGUGAAGAGAACUUUUUGUUCUGGAAGGUGCACAUGACAUUCCAUUUGAAUGAGAAACAUCAGAGAGAGGCGUGCUUUCACUCUCACAAGGCACGAUCCCCAGCUGCACAAAGCUUUGUAUUUCUUGUUAUAUUUCCUUUUUCAGGGAGAUGAGGGGCUGGUGGUAGAGAUGCAUGGACCACAGCAAGUUAUUGUGCCAUGAUUUUGUCUUUGACGUACUUAUUUCUGAAAUUCAUUAUGACUUGAAAUAUCCUUUUCAUAAAGACUGCAAUAAAGUCCUUUGACAAUAUGGCUAGAUGGAUCAAAGGGCUUAUCUCUGUUGAAUCUUGAGUAGCCACCCAGAUAUCACUGGAGAAGCAACAAUGCAGAUAAUGAAAGAGAAGCUUAAAGAAGAGAAAUUAAGUACUUGCCCAAGGUCACAUAGUUAGUUAAUGGAAGAACCAAAACUAGAACCUAGAUCUUCUGAUGCCACAUUUCAAGCUCCAUGAACCACUGGCCUGCAGGAGAUCAAGGCUAAGGGCAAGGAGCGGAAGGGAGACACACAAGAUGCUCAAGUCUUUAAAAAUCCCCAUUGGGAGAAUCACGCUACAAAUGGACAAAUCACAUCCUGAAACGGUGGACUCUCUGAAGACCUUACAAAACAGCCUUCAGGCCUGAUCUGUCUCCUUUCCCAGCUUGAACUGUGUUUUCCUAAAGUGGUUUCACUUUCCUCCUUCUCCAAAAGGUGGCAUCAGAAAGGAGGGAGCAGGAAGGCACAGGCCAAACGCUCAUCUCAAUGGCUGCCUCAGCCAUGCUCUGACAAGUGAGCUGAUGGGAAAAUUGCUCCUAAUUAAAUCACUUCAUUAAAAAGAGACCAUUUUCCAAGCGAAUGCACUCCGCAGUUCUCGUGGUGGGUAAUUUGUUGUGUUAAUAAGCUGGAGAGGUUGAAUUCCAAGGUUGCAGCCGCUGACAGCCUGCAGAAAUAGGGACCAUAUUUUGGCAAUGCCCUUGCCCUGUCGAGGGUACCGAGGAAAGCUGACAAAUGGCAGUUCCUUAUAAUAGUUUUGCUCACUGGAGACCUGAGGGGCUGAGAAUGAUGUUUUCUAGUCUGUAGGUUUAGGAUGCCAACAAGAUAAAACAAAUACCCAGAAAAAGGCGCUGUGUCUUUUGUUCGCUGAAAAAUAAACAGGGGAGGACUUCCCUUUUGUAGAUCCCACUGUGAUAGAGGAAGAGGGUGCUUCUUCAGCUGUAUUUGAACCGAAGCAUGGAAAAUUGCCAUCUGCAUUCAACUCUGUGGUUUUAGGGCAGCUGGAUAGGCAGUGCUGCACAGUCUGAGGCUGUGGACGUUGAAGUUAGACCAAGUGUCAGUUCCAAUCCUAAUACUUACCAGCUGUGACACCUUGAACAUGCAUGGUAAUCUCUCUAAGCCUCAUUUUCCUCAUCU